RNAcentral lists this microRNA (21 nucleotides) under Drosophila melanogaster (fruit fly). Its description in RNAcentral is "dme-miR-4919-3p". The record is from miRBase by way of RNAcentral. Lineage: Eukaryota; Metazoa; Arthropoda; Insecta; Diptera; Drosophilidae.
UAAUCCCUGAACGACUUGCAG